ACGCCGAAGGUUAGAAUCCUUCCUACUGCA
Molecule: transfer RNA, 30 nt
Filed under: Atherina boyeri (big-scale sand smelt)
Lineage: Eukaryota; Metazoa; Chordata; Actinopteri; Atheriniformes; Atherinidae
Description: partial tRNA-Thr
Source: RNAcentral